This 2985-nucleotide ribosomal RNA is filed under the name fermentation metagenome. RNAcentral's name for it is "bacterial LSU rRNA". It matches the Rfam family "Bacterial large subunit ribosomal RNA". The record is from RNAcentral.
UCAAGCUCGUAAGGGCGCACGGUGGAUGCCUUGGCACCAACAGGCGAUGAAGGACGUGGUAAGCUGCGAAAAGCGUCGGGAAGUGGCAAACACGCGUUGAUCCGACGAUAUCCGAAUGGGGCAACCCCCCGCGGGUCAUGCCGCGGGAUACCUUGCUGAAUCCAUAGGCAAGGUAAGCGACACCGGGUGAAGUGAACCAUCUCAGUAACCCGAGGAGUAGAAAUCAACCGAGAUUCCCCAAGUAGUGGCGAGCGAACGGGGAAGAGCCUAAACCGGCCGACUUGUCGGCCGGGGUUGCGGGACCUCGAUAUGUGGUUUUGUUUUGUAGUGGAAGGAUCUGGAAAGUUCCGCCAUAGAGGGUGAAAGGCCCGUACGCGAAACGAAACAACGCCGCUAGAGGUAUCCCAAGUACCACGGGACACGUGAAACCCUGUGGGAAUCGGGGAGGACCACCUUCCAAGGCUAAAUACUCGUUGGUGACCGAUAGUGAACCAGUACCGUGAGGGAAAGGUGAAAAGGACCCCUGAAGGGGAGUGAAAUAGAACCUGAAACCGUGUGCCUACAAGGAGUGGGAGCCCAUGGCGUCAGUGUCUACGGACACCGAGGCCGGGUGACUGCGUGCCUUUUGCAUAAUGAGCCUGCGAGUUACUCUGUACGGCAAGGUUAAGCUCUUCUGGAGCGAAGCCGAAGCGAAAGCGAGUCUGAAUAGGGCGUCAGAGUCGUGCGGAGUAGACCCGAAACCGAGUGAUCUACCCAUGGCCAGGGUGAAGUUCUGGUAACACGGAAUGGAGGCCCGAACCAGUACGUGUUGAAAAACGUUUGGAUGAGCUGUGGGUCGGAGUGAAAGGCUAAUCAAACUCGGUGAUAGCUGGUUCUCCCCGAAAUAGCUUUAGGGCUAGCCUCGUGUGGUAGCCUCCGGAGGUAGAGCACUGAAUGGUCGCGGGCCCUUCACCAGGGUACCAACACCAAUCAAACUCCGAAUGCCGGAUGUGGAAUCACGGGAGUCAGACUGCGGGGGAUAAGCUUCGUAGUCGAAAGGGAAACAGCCCAGACCGCCGGCUAAGGCCCCUAAGAGCGCGUUAAGUGGAAAAGGAUGUGGGAUUGCAAAGACAGCUAGGAUGUUGGCUUAGAGGCAGCCAUCAUUUAAAGAGUGCGUAAUAGCUCACUAGUCGAGUGAUCCUGCGCCGAAAAUGAUCGGGACUCAAACGCGCCGCCGAAGCCGCGGAUCUUGCGCAAGCAGGAUGGUAGGGGAGCGUUCCAUACUGGGUAGAAGCCGUAGUCGACAAGACACGGUGGACUGUAUGGAAGUGAUCAUGCAGGCAUGAGUAGCGAUAAUCCCGGUGAGAAUCCGGGACGCCGAAAGCCUAAGGUUUCCUGGGCAAGGUUCGUCCACCCAGGGUUAGUCGGGACCUAAGCCGAGGCCGAAAGGCGUAGGUGAUGGACAACAGGUUUAAUAUUCCUGUACCACCCACAAGCGUUUGAGCGAAGGGGGGACACGGAAGGCUAAGUCAGCCGUCGAUUGAAAGUGACGGUCCAAGUGUGUAGGGGGUCUGGAUAGGCAAAUCCGUUCGGACAUAUACCCUGAGGCACGAUGGGACACCAAACCUCACGGGGCGGUGGAUUGAUUGAUGCCCUGCCGUCGAGAAAAACCUCUAGUGAGCGAAAUGGGUGCCCGUACCGCAAACCGACACAGGUAGGCGAGGAGAGAAUCCUCAGGCGCGCGAGAGAAACCUCGUUAAGGAACUCGGCAAAAUAGCCCCGUAACUUCGGGAGAAGGGGCGCUCGUGGCGGUGUAAUUAAUACUAAUGAAGCUGCUGUGAGCCGCAGUGAAGAGGCCCAGGCGACUGUUUACCAAAAACAUAGCACUCUGCGAACUCGAAAGAGGAUGUAUAGGGUGUGACACGUGACCAAUGCCGAAAGGUUAAGGCAAGGGGUCAUUCCCGCUUCGGCGGGAAGAAGCUCUGACCCGAAGCCCCGGUGAAUGUCGGCCGUAACUAUAACGGUCCUAAGGUAGCGAAAUUCCUUGUCGGGUAAGUUCCGACCUGCACGAAUCGUGUAACGAUCUGGGCGCUGUCUCAACGAGGAUCUCGGCGAAGUUGUAAUGCCGGUGAAGAUGCCGGCUACCCGCGGUAGGACGGAAAGACCCCGUGAACCUUUACUGUAUUCUGAUAUUGUGUUUCGGUAUACCAUGUGUAGGAUAGGUGGGAGGCAUGGAAGUGCGCGCGCCAGCGCGCAUGGAGCCAGCGGUGAAAUACCACCCUUGGUGUAUUGGAAUUCUAACCGUGACCCGUAAUCCGGGCAUGGGACCGUGUCAGAGGGUCAGUUUGACUGGGGCGGUUUCCUCCCAAAAUGUAACGGAGGAGUUCGAAGGUUCCCUCAGCAUGGUUGGCAAUCAUGCGCAGAGCGUAAGGGUAGAAGGGAGCUUAACUGCGAGACCUACAAGUCGAGCAGGUGCGAAAGCAGGACCUAGUGAUCCGGCGGUGGAACGUGGAAUCGCCGUCGCUCAACGGAUAAAAGGUACUCCGGGGAUAACAGGCUGAUCGCUUCCAAGAGUCCACAUCGACGAAGCGGUUUGGCACCUCGAUGUCGGCUCAUCGCAUCCUGGGGCUGGAGAAGGUCCCAAGGGUUUGGCUGUUCGCCAAUUAAAGCGGUACGCGAGCUGGGUUCAGAACGUCGUGAGACAGUUCGGUCCUUAUCCACCGUGGGCGUAGGAGAUUUGAGGAGAGCAUUCCCUAGUACGAGAGGACCGGGAAUGACCAACCUCUGGUGUUCCAGUUGUGGCGUCAGCUGCAUUGCUGGGUAGCUAAGUUGGGAAAGGAUAAGCGCUGAAAGCAUCUAAGCGCCAAGCCCCCUCCAAGAUGAGAUCUCCCUCCCGCAUCAGCGGGACUCAAGGCACCUCGAAGACGACGAGGUCGAUAGGUCGGGUGUGUAAGUGCAGUGAUGCAUGUAGCUAACCGAUACUAAUCAGCCGUGAGGCUUGACCCC